This 492-nucleotide ribosomal RNA is filed under the name uncultured bacterium. RNAcentral's name for it is "partial 16S ribosomal RNA". It matches the Rfam family "Bacterial small subunit ribosomal RNA", at positions 29 to 507 of the family's 1533-position model. The record is from RNAcentral.
AGUGAACGCUGGUGGUAGGCCUAACACAUGCAAGUCGAACGGCAGCACAGUAAGAGCUUGCUCUUACGGGUGGCGAGUGGCGGACGGGUGAGGAAUACAUCGGAAUCUACUUUUUCGUGGGGGAUAACGUAGGGAAACUUACGCUAAUACUGCAUACGACCUACGGGUGAAAGCAGGGGAUCUUCGGACCUUGCGCGAUUGAAUGAGCCGAUGUCGGAUUAGCUAGUUGGCGGGGUAAAGGCCCACCAAGGCGACGAUCCGUAGCUGGUCUGAGAGGAUGAUCAGCCACACUGGAACUGAGACACGGUCCAGACUCCUACGGGAGGCAGCAGUGGGGAAUAUUGGACAAUGGGCGCAAGCCUGAUCCAGCCAUACCGCGUGGGUGAAGAAGGCCUUCGGGUUGUAAAGCCCUUUUGUUGGGAAAGAAAAGCAGCAGGUUAAUACCCCGCUGUUCUGACGGUACCCAAAGAAUAAGCACCGGCUAACUUCGUG